This 253-nucleotide ribosomal RNA is filed under the name uncultured bacterium. RNAcentral's name for it is "partial 16S ribosomal RNA". It matches the Rfam family "Bacterial small subunit ribosomal RNA", at positions 524 to 776 of the family's 1533-position model. The record is from RNAcentral.
UACAGAGGUCUCAAGCGUUGUUCGGAUUCAUUGGGCGUAAAGGGUGUGUAGGUGGCGCCGUAAGUCGGGUGUGAAAUUUCGGAGCUUAACUCCGAAACUGCAUUCGAUACUGCGGUGCUUGAGGACUGGAGAGGAGACUGGAAUUCCUGGUGUAGCGGUGAAAUGCGCAGAUAUCAGGAGGAACACCGGUGGCGAAGGCGGGUCUCUGGGCCGUAACUGACGCUGAGGAGCGAAAGCAUGGGGAGCGAACAGG